UACGUAGGGGGCAAGCGUUGUCCGGAAUUAUUGGGCGUAAAGCGCGUGUAGGCGGUUCAAUAAGUCUGCUGUAAAAGUCGAGGGCUCAACCCUCGAAGGCCGGUGGAUACUGUUGGGCUAGAGUACGGAAGAGGCGAGUGGAAUUCCUGGUGUAGCGGUGAAAUGCGCAGAUAUCAGGAGGAACACCAAUUGCGAAGGCAGCUCGCUGGGACGUUACUGACGCUGAGACGCGAAAGCGUGGGGAGCAAACAGG
This 253-nucleotide ribosomal RNA is filed under the name uncultured prokaryote. Its description in RNAcentral is "partial 16S ribosomal RNA". It matches the Rfam family "Bacterial small subunit ribosomal RNA", at positions 524 to 776 of the family's 1533-position model. The record is from RNAcentral.